Molecule: transfer RNA, 72 nt
Filed under: Bos taurus (domestic cattle)
Lineage: Eukaryota; Metazoa; Chordata; Mammalia; Artiodactyla; Bovidae
Also listed under: 5 other names
Rfam family: tRNA
About the family: Transfer RNA (tRNA) molecules are approximately 80 nucleotides in length. Their secondary structure includes four short double-helical elements and three loops (D, anti-codon, and T loops).
Source: Rfam by way of RNAcentral
UCCCUGGUGGCUCAGAUGGUAAAGCAUCUGCCUGCAAUGCAGGCAACCCAGGUUCAAUCCCUGGCUUGGGAA